CGACCGGCGCACGGGUGAGUAACACGUAUCCAACCUGCCGUCUACUCUUGGCCAGCCUUCUGAAAGGAAGAUUAAUCCAGGAUGGGAUCAUGGGUUCACAUGUCCGCAUGAUUAAAGGUAUUUUCCGGUAGACGAUGGGGAUGCGUUCCAUUAGAUAGUAGGCGGGGUAACGGCCCACCUAGUCAACGAUGGAUAGGGGUUCUGAGAGGAAGGUCCCCCACAUUGGAACUGAGACACGGUCCAA
RNAcentral lists this ribosomal RNA (244 nucleotides) under uncultured bacterium. RNAcentral describes it as "partial 16S ribosomal RNA". It matches the Rfam family "Bacterial small subunit ribosomal RNA", at positions 92 to 334 of the family's 1533-position model. The record is from RNAcentral.